AACGCGAAGAACCUUACCGAGGCUUGACAUCCUUGGAAUCCACUGGAAACAGAGGAGUGCCGCAAGGAACCAAGUGACAGGUGCUGCAUGGCCGUCGUCAGCUCGUGUCGUGAGAUGUUGGGUUAAGUCCCGCAACGAGCGCAACCCUUAUCGUAUGUUGUACUUUUCAUACGAGACUGCCCGAGGUAAUCGGGAGGAAGGUGGGGAUGAGGUCAGGUCGGCAUGGCCCUUACGCCUCGGGCCACACACGUCAUACAAUGGCCGGUACAACGCGCUGCGAACCCGCGAGGGGGAGCUAAUCGCAUCAAAACCGGUCUCAGUUCGGAUUGGAGGCUGCAACUCGCCUCCAUGAAGUCGGAUUCGCUAGUAAACGCAGGUCAGCAUACCGCGUUGAAUACGUUCCCGGGCCUUGUACACACCGCUCGCGA
This 428-nucleotide ribosomal RNA is filed under the name uncultured bacterium. RNAcentral describes it as "bacterial SSU rRNA". It matches the Rfam family "Bacterial small subunit ribosomal RNA", at positions 958 to 1399 of the family's 1533-position model. The record is from RNAcentral.